This 381-nucleotide unclassified non-coding RNA is filed under the name uncultured bacterium. Its description in RNAcentral is "contains 16S-23S intergenic spacer region". The record is from RNAcentral.
UCACGUCUUACGACGGCAGUUUCAUUAGAGUUCCCAGCUUGACCUGAUGGCAACUAAUGAUGGGGGUUGCGCUCGUUGCGGGACUUAACCCAACACCUCACGGCACGAGCUGACGACAGCCAUGCAGCACCUGUGUUCCGGGCUCCGAAGAGAAGGUCACAUCUCUGCGACCGGUCCCGGACAUGUCAAGGGCUGGUAAGGUUCUGCGCGUUGCGUCGAAUUAAUCCACAUGCUCCGCUGCUUGUGCGGGUCCCCGUCAAUUCCUUUGAGUUUUAGCCUUGCGGCCGUACUCCCCAGGCGGGGCACUUAAUGCGUUAGCUCCGGCACGGGAGGAGUCGUCACCUCCCACACCUAGUGCCCAUCGUUUACGGCGUGGACUAC